RNAcentral lists this ribosomal RNA (484 nucleotides) under uncultured bacterium. Its description in RNAcentral is "partial 16S ribosomal RNA". It matches the Rfam family "Bacterial small subunit ribosomal RNA", at positions 30 to 507 of the family's 1533-position model. The record is from RNAcentral.
AUUGAACGCUAGCGGGAUGCUUUACACAUGCAAGUCGAACGGCAGCGCGGACUUCGGUCUGGCGGCGAGUGGCGAACGGGUGAGUAAUGUAUCGGAACGUGCCCAGUAGCGGGGGAUAACUACGCGAAAGCGUAGCUAAUACCGCAUACGCCCUACGGGGGAAAGCAGGGGAUCGUAAGACCUUGCACAAUUGGAGCGGCCGAUAUCGGAUUAGCUAGUUGGUGAGGUAACGGCUCACCAAGGCGACGAUCCGUAGCUGGUUUGAGAGGACGACCAGCCACACUGGGACUGAGACACGGCCCAGACUCCUACGGGAGGCAGCAGUGGGGAAUUUUGGACAAUGGGGGCAACCCUGAUCCAGCCAUCCCGCGUGUGCGAUGAAGGCCUUCGGGUUGUAAAGCACUUUUGGCAGGAAAGAAACGUCGCGGGCUAAUACCCCGUGGAACUGACGGUACCUGCAGAAUAAGCACCGGCUAACUACGUG